AGCAGCCGCGGUAAUUCCAGCUCCAAUAGCGUAUAUUAAAGUUGUUGCAGUUAAAAAGCUCGUAGUUGAAUUUCGGGAUCAAGGAAUCGGUCGUGCCUUGGUAUGUACUGGUUUUAUUGGUUCUCACCUUCUAAAGAACCAUAAUGUCAUUUAUUUGAUGUUAUGGGGAAUUAGGACUGUUACCUUGAAAAAAUUAGAGUGUUUAAAGCAAGCUUACGCUUGAAUACAUUAGCAUGGAAUAAUGAAAUAGGACGUUUGAACCUAUUUUGUUGGUUUCUAGGAUCGACGUAAUGAUUAAUAGGGAUAGUUGGGGGCAUUAGUAUUCAAUUGUCAGAGGUGAAAUUCUUGGAUUUAUUGAAGACUAACUACUGCGAAAGCAUUUGCCAAGGAUGUUUUCAUUAAUCUAAGAACGAAAGUUAGGGGAUCGAAGACGAUCAGAUACCGUCGUAGUCUUAACCAUAAACUAUGCCGACUAGGGAUCGGAUGAUGUUAAUUUUUUAAUGACUCAUUCGGCGCCUUA
RNAcentral lists this ribosomal RNA (520 nucleotides) under uncultured Glomus. RNAcentral's name for it is "SSU rRNA". It matches the Rfam family "Eukaryotic small subunit ribosomal RNA", at positions 569 to 1090 of the family's 1831-position model. The record is from RNAcentral. Lineage: Eukaryota; Fungi; Glomeromycota; Glomeromycetes; Glomerales; Glomeraceae.